UGACUNGAGUGCAGAAGGGGAGAGUGGAAUUCCAUGUGUAGCGGUGAAAUGCGUAGAUAUAUGGAGGANCACCAGUGGCGAAAGCGGCUCUCUGGUCUGUCACUGACGCUGAGGCUCGAAAGCGUGGGUAGCGAACAGGAUUAGAUACCCUGGUAGUCCACGCCGUAAACGAUGAGUGCUAGGUGUUAGGCCCUUUCCGGGGCUUAGUGCCGGAGCUAACGCAAUAAGCACUCCGCCUGGGGAGUACGACCGCAAGGUUGAAACUCAAAGGAAUUGACGGGGGCCCGCACAAGCGGUGGAGCAUGUGGUUUAAUUCGAAGCAACGCGAAGAACCUUACCAGGUCUUGACAUCCCGAUGCUAUUCUUAGAGAUAGGAAGUUACUUCGGUACAUCGGAGACAGGUGGUGCAUGGUUGUCGUCAGCUCGUGUCGUGAGAUGUUGGGUUANNNNNNNNNNNNAGCGCAACCCUUAUUGUUAGUUGCCAUCAUUAAGUUGGGCACUCUAGCGAGACUGCCGGUAAUAAACCGGAGGAAGGUGGGGAUGACGUCAAAUCAUCAUGCCCCUUAUGACCUGGGCUACACACGUGCUACAAUGGUCGGUACAACGAGUUGCGAGCCGGUGACGGCAAGCUAAUCUCUGAAAGCCGAUCUCAGUUCGGAUUGGAGGCUGCAACUCGCCUCCAUGAAGUCGGAAUCGCUAGUAAUCGCGGAUCAGCACGCCGCGGUGAAUACGUUCCCGGGCCUU
Molecule: ribosomal RNA, 744 nt
Filed under: uncultured bacterium
Lineage: Bacteria
Description: bacterial SSU rRNA
Rfam family: Bacterial small subunit ribosomal RNA
Source: RNAcentral